UGUGGGAGCUGGCUUGCCAGCGAUAGCGGUGGUUCAGUCAAAUUUAUUGUGACUGACAGGACCUCAUCGCUGGCAAGCCAGCUCCCACA
This 89-nucleotide unclassified non-coding RNA is filed under the name Pseudomonas helmanticensis. The record is from RNAcentral. Lineage: Bacteria; Pseudomonadati; Pseudomonadota; Gammaproteobacteria; Pseudomonadales; Pseudomonadaceae.